AGCAUGACCAGUGGAAGCUUCGAAGAGCUAUUGCCAAUUUCCACCCUCUCUCUGGAAACUGUCAUUAGGGUUAGGGAAACUGUCAUGAGAUCUGCAUAUUUUAGAUAGAGGCUGCUUGCCUUAUUUGGGCACCUAAUGAAAAAGACAUGGAGGCCAGGUGCGGUGGCUCAUGUCUGUAAUCCCAGCACUUUGGGAGGCCAAGGCGAGUGGAUCACCUGAGGUCAGGAGUUCGAGACCAGCCUGACCAACAUGGCAAAACCCCGUCUGUACUAAAAGUGCAAACACAAAGGGAACUGCGUGGCUUGUUUCUACCUGAACAUUGUCAAGUGAUUUCAUCCUUUGAAACACAGUUGUGAAGUGUGUCCAGCAGUCUGAGAACAAGAAGAAGAAGAAAAUCUAAUCCUUCAGGGUGUCUGUGUGCCAGCCCUGCUCUCAGCACUUCCCAUGUGGAACUCCUUUACUUCUCCUAACAACUCCAUGACAUGGGUUAGACUGUGAUUGUUCCCAUAUUGUUGGUAGGGAAACUGAGGCAUGCAGGUGUUACAGAGCUCUCUCAAGUGGCAAGCUUUCUGGGUGGUUACAGAGUGGCAGAGCUGGGGUAUCCCAUGAUGUCACCACACUGCUAUAUGGAAAAGAACAUUAAUCGAGCACCUACGUGCUUGAUUCUCUUAAUUCUGUGACUGAACUCUCAAAACACCCUGGAAGCAAGCAGCAUGCUGGAGACCCUCAAAUACAUGUGAAAUGAAGGGACACCUUGUGUUAUUUCACCUGUUUCCACCUGGUUCCCAAGUGGCAAGCUUGCAUUGAGGUUACAAAGUGGCAAAGCUGGGAUAUCACAUGAUGUCACCAUGAUGCUAUAUGAAAUGUAACAUUAAUUGAGUACCUAUGUGACCAGUUCUUUAAUUCUGUAAGUGAACUCUCAAAAAACCCUAGGUAAGUAUUAUCAACUCGAACUUUAACGGAUGAGGAAACUGGAAUUUUUUAAAAAAUGACUUAACCAAACAUCACAGAGCUGUAAACCAGGAUUUGAAUGGGUGAGCUGCACUCAGCCUUCAUCUCAAGUCAGUUUGCCUCUUUCUCCAAGAAGCCACAGUUGAUCCUGACCACAUCACAUAUGAGUUGCCUGGAUUGCAGUCAUUCAUUCACUAAGCAUCUUUUAGGAGGUCACAUGCCAGGCACCGUGUUAGAGCACUGCGUGUUUUGAAAUAUACAAAUAGUGGGAAACGAAAUCUUUGUUCUGGAUGCAGUUAUAAUUUGGAAAGCGAGGAAAUAAAUUAUAACAAGGGGAAAAAACAGACACAGAGGGAUUGAAAUGCAUAACAAUAGAGAUGAAACACGAAGAGUGAUAAAUGAAGAUUGAGUGUGCACACCUUCUGGAGGAGCCCUGAUUGAGUAUUUUAAAAUACUACUAAAGUCAUGCCGUGUGACUUCUGAAGCUAGCUCCUAAGAAGUCCUUGCAGCUUCUGCCUGCGACUCUUAGAACACUUGCUUUGAAGGAUGCCAGAUGCUGUCUUAAAAGUCUGAGCACUCUGAAACCAUCAUGCUGUGAGGAAGCCCAAGCUAACCACAUGGGCAAAAAAGAUGCCCUCUGACUGCCACCAUUUGAGACACUCUAAUUAAGAACUGCCUCAUUGAGCCCAUGAGGCCCUGUGAAUGAUAAUAAUAAAUUGUUUUUAACCACU
Homo sapiens (human) is the source of this 1682-nucleotide long non-coding RNA. Ensembl annotates it as long intergenic non-protein coding RNA 964. Lineage: Eukaryota; Metazoa; Chordata; Mammalia; Primates; Hominidae. The record is from Ensembl.